This 253-nucleotide ribosomal RNA is filed under the name uncultured bacterium. RNAcentral's name for it is "partial 16S ribosomal RNA". It matches the Rfam family "Bacterial small subunit ribosomal RNA", at positions 524 to 776 of the family's 1533-position model. The record is from RNAcentral.
UACGUAGGGGGCGAGCGUUGUCCGGAGUUACUGGGCGUAAAGGGCAUGCAGGCGGUCCGACACGUUUUGUGUGACAGCGGGUGGCUUAACUACCCGAGGAUACGAAAGACGGUUGGACUUGAGGACUCGAGAGGGACACGGAAUUCCGGGUGGAGUGGUGGAAUGCGUAGAGAUCCGGAGGAACACCGAAGGCGAAGGCAGUGUCCUGGCGAGUGACUGACGCUGAGGUGCGAAAGCCAGGGGAGCGAACGGG